GGGGGGGGGGGGGGGGGGGGGGGGGAGGGGGGGGGGGGGGGGUGGAAGGAGCGUGGGGGUGUGGGGGCGGCGCGCGUGGGCGUAACGGGUAUGGGGUCUACCUUGGACCGGGGAAUAGACCAGGGUAAGUUGGAUUAAUGCGCCAGAGUAUAUAACCUUCGGCUUGUGGGUUGAUUAAAUGUACACCUGUACCAUAUGAGCAUGCGUCCCAUUAGUUCGUUGGUAAGGUAACGACUUACCAAAACGAUGAUGGGUAGGGGUCCUGAGAGGGAGAUCCCCCACACGGGUACUGAGACACGGACCAGACUCCUACGGGAGGCAGCAGUGAGGAAUAUUGGUCAAUGGUCGCAAGACUGAACCAGCCAUGCCGCGUGCAGGAAGACGGUCCUAUGGAUUGUAAACUGCUUUUAUACAGGAAGAAACCCUCCCACGUGUGGGAGCUUGACGGUACUGUAGGAAUAAGGAUCGGCUAACUCCGUG
RNAcentral lists this ribosomal RNA (480 nucleotides) under uncultured bacterium. RNAcentral describes it as "partial 16S ribosomal RNA". It matches the Rfam family "Bacterial small subunit ribosomal RNA", at positions 38 to 507 of the family's 1533-position model. The record is from RNAcentral.